AACGCACGAGACCUGCGGACCUGCGGAAGGAUCAUUACCGAGUUUACAAAACUCCCAAACCCUUUGUGAACCUUACCUAUCGUUGCUUCGGCGGGACCGCCCCGGCGCCCUCGCGGCCCGGAACCAGGCGCCCGCCGGAGGCCCCAAACCCUCAUGUCUUUAGUGGUUUCCUCCUCUGAGUGACAUAAACAAAUAAAGUAAAAACUUUUAGCAAUGGAUCUCUAGAUCGGAAGAGCACAC
This 240-nucleotide unclassified non-coding RNA is filed under the name soil metagenome. RNAcentral describes it as "partial contains 5.8S ribosomal RNA, internal transcribed spacer 2, and large subunit ribosomal RNA". The record is from RNAcentral.